GGCAGGCCUAAUACGUGCGAGUCGAGGGGUAACAGGAAGUGCUUGCACUUCGCUGACGACCGGCGCACGGGUGAGUAUCGCGUAUACAAUCUGCCUCAUACUAGGGAAUAGCCCGAAGAAAUUUGGAUUAAUG
RNAcentral lists this ribosomal RNA (133 nucleotides) under uncultured bacterium. RNAcentral's name for it is "partial 16S ribosomal RNA". It matches the Rfam family "Bacterial small subunit ribosomal RNA", at positions 41 to 168 of the family's 1533-position model. The record is from RNAcentral.